GAUGAACGCUGGCGGCGUGCCUAAUACAUGCAAGUCGAGCGAACGGACGAGAAGCUUGCUUCUCUGAUGUUAGCGGCGGACGGGUGAGUAACACGUGGAUAACCUACCUAUAAGACUGGGAUAACUUCGGGAAACCGGAGCUAAUACCGGAUAAUAUUUUGAACCGCAUGGUUCAAAAGUGAAAGACGGUCUUGCUGUCACUUAUAGAUGGAUCCGCGCUGCAUUAGCUAGUUGGUAAGGUAACGGCUUACCAAGGCAACGAUGCAUAGCCGACCUGAGAGGGUGAUCGGCCACACUGGAACUGAGACACGGCCCAGACUCCUACGGGAGGCAGCAGUAGGGAAUCUUCCGCAAUGGGGGAAAGCCUGACGGAGCAACGCCGCGUGAGUGAUGAAGGUCUUCGGAUCGUAAAACUCUGUUAUUAGGGAAGAACAUAUGUGUAAGUAACUGUGCACAUCUUGACGGUACCUAAUCAGAAAGCCACGGCUAACUACGUG
RNAcentral lists this ribosomal RNA (497 nucleotides) under uncultured bacterium. RNAcentral describes it as "partial 16S ribosomal RNA". It matches the Rfam family "Bacterial small subunit ribosomal RNA", at positions 28 to 507 of the family's 1533-position model. The record is from RNAcentral.